GUAAGGGCCCAGGUAGACUACCUGGUCGAUAGACGGCAGGUGCAAGGCUGGCGACAGCCUCAGCCGAGCCGCACUAAUCGCCCGAGCUCUUCC
This 93-nucleotide ribosomal RNA is filed under the name Collinsella sp. WCA1-178-WT-3 (M1). RNAcentral's name for it is "partial 23S ribosomal RNA". It matches the Rfam family "Bacterial large subunit ribosomal RNA", at positions 2829 to 2912 of the family's 2925-position model. RNAcentral also lists the same sequence under 1 other name. The record is from RNAcentral. Lineage: Bacteria; Bacillati; Actinomycetota; Coriobacteriia; Coriobacteriales; Coriobacteriaceae.